AGACCCGAAACCCGGUGAUCUAGCCAUGGGCAGGUUGAAGGUUGGGUAACACUAACUGGAGGACCGAACCGACUAAUGUUGAAAAAUUAGCGGAUGACCUGUGGCUGGGGGUGAAAGGCCAAUCAAACCGGGAGAUAGCUGGUUCUCCCCGAAAGCUAUUUAGGUAGCGCCUCGUGAAUUCAUCUCCGGGGGUAGAGCACUGUUUCGGCUAGGGGGCCAUCCCGGCUUACCAACCCGAUGCAAACUGCGAAUACCGGAGAAUGUUAUCACGGGAGACACACGGCGGGUGCUAACGUCCGUCGUGAAGAGGGAAACAACCCAGACCGCCAGCUAAGGUCCCAAAGUCAUGGUUAAGUGGGAAACGAUGUGGGAAGGCCCAGACAGCCAGGAUGUUGGCUUAGAAGCAGCCAUCAUUUAAAGAAAGCGUAAUAGCUCACUGGUCGAGUCGGCCUGCGCGGAAGAUGUAACGGGGCUAAACCAUGCACCGAAGCUGCGGCAGCGAACGUAUCACUUAAAGCGAUUCAGCGGGUUACGAUUGACGGAGCGAAGCGACGUCAAAGCGUAUACAAAGUCGAGUCGGUUUAAGGAUACGUUCGUUGGGUAGGGGAGCGUUCUGUAAGCCUGUGAAGGUGUGUCGUGAGGCAUGCUGGAGGUAUCAGAAGUGCGAAUGCUGACAUAAGUAACGAUAAAGCGGGUGAAAAGCCCGCUCGCCGGAAGACCAAGGGUUCCUGUCCAACGUUAAUCGGGGCAGGGUGAGUCGACCCCUAAGGCGAGGCCGAAAGGCGUAGUCGAUGGGAAACGGGUUAAUAUUCCCGUACUUGGUGUUACUGCGAAGGGGGGACGGAGAAGGCUAUGUUGGCCGGGCGACGGUUGUCCCGGUUUAAGC
This 886-nucleotide ribosomal RNA is filed under the name Salmonella enterica subsp. enterica serovar Infantis. Its description in RNAcentral is "partial 23S ribosomal RNA". It matches the Rfam family "Bacterial large subunit ribosomal RNA", at positions 711 to 1517 of the family's 2925-position model. The record is from RNAcentral. RNAcentral also lists the same sequence under 1 other name. Lineage: Bacteria; Pseudomonadati; Pseudomonadota; Gammaproteobacteria; Enterobacterales; Enterobacteriaceae.